UUUGUAGAACGGGCCAACGAGUUACGUUAAGUAGCAAGGUUAAGCACUUAAGGUGCGGAGCCGUAGCGAAAGCGAGUUUUAACUGAGCGUUCAGAUACUUGACGUAGACCCGAAACCGGGCGACCUACCCCUGAGCAGUAUGAAGCGAAAGUAAAAUUUCGUGGAGGUCCGAACCCACGAGCGUUGAAAAGCUCGGGGAUGACUUGUGGGUAGCGGUGAAAUUCCAAUCGAGCCCGGAGAUAGCUGGUUCUCCCCGAAAUAGCUUUAGGGCUAGCCUCAAGGUGAGAGAUACGGAGGUAGAGCACUGAAUGUCCUAGGGGGUAUUGCACCUACCGAAG
RNAcentral lists this ribosomal RNA (338 nucleotides) under Clostridioides difficile. RNAcentral describes it as "bacterial LSU rRNA". It matches the Rfam family "Bacterial large subunit ribosomal RNA", at positions 607 to 944 of the family's 2925-position model. Lineage: Bacteria; Bacillati; Bacillota; Clostridia; Peptostreptococcales; Peptostreptococcaceae. The record is from RNAcentral.